AGGACGAGAGCCGCUCAGGCUAGCCAAGGAGACUGCCUGCGAGACCACACGCAGCAGAAGAGCCUCCUGCAGCUGGAGGCCACAGGCAAGUCAUCCUUGGCUACCAGAGCAGAGCUCUCACCG
Molecule: microRNA precursor, 123 nt
Organism: Dichanthelium oligosanthes
Lineage: Eukaryota; Viridiplantae; Streptophyta; Magnoliopsida; Poales; Poaceae
Source: Rfam